GGGGCCAUCCCGGCUUACCAACCCGAUGCAAACUGCGAAUACCGGAGAAUGUUAUCACGGGAGACACACGGCGGGUGCUAACGUCCGUCGUGAAGAGGGAAACAACCCAGACCGCCAGCUAAGGUCCCAAAGUCAUGGUUAAGUGGGAAACGAUGUGGGAAGGCCCAGACAGCCAGGAUGUUGGCUUAGAAGCAGCCAUCAUUUAAAGAAAGCGUAAUAGCUCACUGGUCGAGUCGGCCUGCGCGGAAGAUGUAACGGGGCUAAACCAUGCACCGAAGCUGCGGCAGCGACACUGUGUGUUGUUGGGUAGGGGAGCGUUCUGUAAGCCUGUGAAGGUGUGUCGUGAGGCAUGCUGGAGGUAUCAGAAGUGCGAAUGCUGACAUAAGUAACGAUAAAGCGGGUGAAAAGCCCGCUCGCCGGAAGACCAAGGGUUCCUGUCCAACGUUAAUCGGGGCAGGGUGAGUCGACCCCUAAGGCGAGGCCGAAAGGCGUAGUCGAUGGGAAACGGGUUAAUAUUCCCGUACUUGGUGUUACUGCGAAGGGGGGACGGAGAAGGCUAUGUUGGCCGGGCGACGGUUGUCCCGGUUUAAGCGUGUAGGUGUGUGUUCCAGGUAAAUCCGGUUCACUUUAACACUGAGGCGUGACGACGAGGCACUACGGUGCUGAAGCAACAAAUGCCCUGCUUCCAGGAAAAGCCUCUAAGCAUCAGGUAACAUCAAAUCGUACCCCAAACCGACACAGGUGGUCAGGUAGAGAAUACCAAGGCGCUUGAGAGAACUCGGGUGAAGGAACUAGGCAAAAUGGUGCCGUAACUUCGGGAGAAGGCACGCUGACACGUAGGUGAAGUGAUUUACUCAUGGAGCUGAAGUCAGUCGAAGAUACCAGCUGGCUGCAACUGUUUAUUAAAAACACAGCACUGUGCAAACACGAAAGUGGACGUAUACGGUGUGACGCCUGCCCGGUGCCGGAAGGUUAAUUGAUGGGGUCAGCGCAAGCGAAGCUCCUGAUCGAAGCCCCGGUAAACGGCGGCCGUAACUAUAACGGUCCUAAGGUAGCGAAAUUCCUUGUCGGGUAAGUUCCGACCUGCACGAAUGGCGUAAUGAUGGCCAGGCUGUCUCCACCCGAGACUCAGUGAAAUUGAACUCGCUGUGAAGAUGCAGUGUACCCGCGGCAAGACGGAAAGACCCCGUGAACCUUUACUAUAGCUUGACACUGAACAUUGAGCCUUGAUGUGUAGGAUAGGUGGGAGGCUUUGAAGUGUGGACGCCAGUCUGCAUGGAGCCGACCUUGAAAUACCACCCUUUAAUGUUUGAUGUUCUAACGUGGACCCGUUACCCGGGUUGCGGACAGUGUCUGGUGGGUAGUUUGACUGGGGCGGUCUCCUCC
Molecule: ribosomal RNA, 1386 nt
Filed under: Salmonella enterica
Lineage: Bacteria; Pseudomonadati; Pseudomonadota; Gammaproteobacteria; Enterobacterales; Enterobacteriaceae
Description: partial 23S ribosomal RNA
Rfam family: Bacterial large subunit ribosomal RNA
Source: RNAcentral